RNAcentral lists this unclassified non-coding RNA (211 nucleotides) under soil metagenome. RNAcentral's name for it is "partial contains small subunit ribosomal RNA, internal transcribed spacer 1, and 5.8S ribosomal RNA". The record is from RNAcentral.
UUUCCGUAGGUGAACCUGCGGAAGGAUCAUUAAAAAUCCACGUGUGUCUUAUUGACACUUGUUGAAAUGUUGAGCGGUGGUGAGGAGGGGGGAGGGGCAACCCUCUCUCUCCCUUGCCCCACUCUGCCAUUAUUAUCACUUGUAUUAUCUCUGUGUUCAGCUUUAUGAUCACAAACUUACACAACUUAUAACAAUGGAUCUCUAGGCUCUU